GAAAAGCAGAGGAACCGUGGCCAAGAACAAUUUCUGGGAGCAACCGUGGGAUAGUCAGCACCUUAGGAGGUGAAUCUUGGUCCAAAGGCAAGCACAGCAGGCUCUAAAGGACUGAAGCACAAGUUCACUGACUCUGAGGGUUCCAAAGAAGGUGAUCAUGGGUUCCCCUUCCAGUCUUUGUGGCUCAACCUAUAAGAAAAUUAUAGAGUUACUAGAGCAGAGCCAGCUGCCGGAAUGCCACCAUGGAGAGCAAAACCUUGCCUGCAGCCAUGCAACUAACAAGCCAUCUGACCCUGGAUUUGUAAGGUGAAGCCAAUGUCUGAGCCUCAUCGCCUUGCGCUGGGUGU
Long non-coding RNA from Eublepharis macularius, 347 nucleotides. RefSeq lists it as uncharacterized. Lineage: Eukaryota; Metazoa; Chordata; Lepidosauria; Squamata; Eublepharidae. The transcript has 3 exons. The record is from RefSeq and is a predicted model, not a curated record.